Long non-coding RNA from Zophobas morio, 1049 nucleotides. RefSeq lists it as uncharacterized. The transcript has 3 exons. The record is from RefSeq and is a predicted model, not a curated record. NCBI's taxonomy places the organism in Eukaryota, Metazoa, Arthropoda, Insecta, Coleoptera, Tenebrionidae.
GCCAGUUCCUAAAGAACUUUUCAGUAAAUGCAUCAACGCUCCGGAAAACCUGGAAGAAUUUUUGUGAAACCUUAAACAACCUAAACAUGGCGGAAUCCCGUGAAGGUGGUGUCCUGGCUGUUCACUUCCAGUACAACUGAUUCCCGUCUCGUUCUCUGCUACUAUCUCAUGCGAAUAGAUGACAAUUAGCAAGACAAUGCCAAUUAUUCGUGGAACGUUACCUACAUAGAUCAAUGCUUGAGCAGUGCGCACAAUAAACUCAGAUGAACUGGUACACAAAGAAUAUUUCUGGCUCUCUUUAACAUCGAAGAUUUCGUACUUGAAGGAACAAUAUAGUGAAAUAGGAAACAACAGAGACGCUGUGCCACUGCAAUUCGGUUGAGCUAUUGAUUCCCCUAGGACGUUGCUCUCCAUCAUAGGCUUUAAUCUUACGGUCCUCCUUUGGUGGUCGGUGCAAGGAUCUGAACCAGAAAAAUAUGCGCUAUGUGCUGACAUUAGAUAUACUUACCUGCUUUUGAGGGCGGUGUGGUCGGGAGUGGCCGGUCGGUGGGAGCAGUGGGUGGAGUCACACGCCGAUUUUGUCGUAUUCUAUGUUUGUCGUCAAGUAGAGCCCUACCGAGACGCUUGAGUCUUCUUGAGGCUUCCUCGUCGAACUCGUAGUCGACGGCUUCUCGGGCCGAGGGGUUGGGGUAUCUUUCAGCUUUCUUGAAGGUGCGAAGUGCAAUUUCCUGCAGAAAUUGCUUUAAGUUCGGAAUGUUGGCCUCCCGAAGAAUCUGGUUGUUUCUGACGAACCAGGGAGCCCUGAAAACUUGUCGGAGAAUUUUUGUCUGGAGGACUUCCAGACGAUGAAAUUUGGUUUUGGAAGACUCGUAACUCCAGACUACUGAGGCAUAAGAAAUUGUGGGGCGAAUGAUUGUUCCAUAUGGAAGAAGUUUGUUCUUGAUCGACAUUGAUGAACACUGACCACGCAACUACUAUAGUGUUCCUUAGCAUUUUUGUUAUAUUUUUGUUUUAUAUUUUUUAAUGUUUGUUUUUUUAUUCUUUCAAAG